Pelobates cultripes (western spadefoot toad) is the source of this 228-nucleotide non-coding RNA. The record is from the annotation of a GenBank genome assembly. Lineage: Eukaryota; Metazoa; Chordata; Amphibia; Anura; Pelobatidae.
GGGCACGAUGUUCCACAUAUGGUGGAAGUGCGGGACGAUCAGACCCUAUUGGGAGAUGGUAGAGGACAUAACUAAAGAGAUGGUAGACACCAACAUAAAACUGACCCCGGAAUUGAGCCUCCUAUUCAUGAACUUAGACCAGUUUCAGGGAACUGGGGCAAUAUUGGUUUUCCACAUACUGAUAGCGGCCCUGACACUAAUAGCUAGGGAAUGGAAAAACACAAAGGC